AGUAAAUAGAUACCCAGGUAGUCCCAGCCGUAAACGAUGUGCGUUAGGUGUAUCGGUGACCACGAGUCACCGAGGUGCCGAAAGAGAAAUCGUGAAACGUACCGCCUGGGAAGUACGGUCGCAAGGCUGAAACUUAAAGGAAUUGGCGGGGGAGCACCACAACAGGUGGAGCCUGCGGUUUAAAUCGGACUCAACGCCGGGAAACUCACCAGAUAAGACAGCUGAAUGAUAGUCGGGCUGAAGACUCUACUUGACUAGCUGAGAGGAGGUGCAUGGCCGUCGUCAGUUCGUACUGUGAAGCAUCCUGUUAAGUCAGGCAACGAGCGAGACCCACGCCAACAGUUGCCAGCUCGUCCUCCGGGAUGGAGGGGACACUGUUGGGACCGCCUCUGCUAAAGAGGAGGAAGGAAUGGGCAACGGUAGGUCAGCAUGCCCCGAAUUAUCUGGGCUACACGCGGGCUACAAUGGGUGGGACAAUGGGUAUCGACACCGAAAGGUGAAGGCAACUCUAACCCUAAC
This 519-nucleotide ribosomal RNA is filed under the name uncultured bacterium. RNAcentral's name for it is "bacterial SSU rRNA". It matches the Rfam family "Archaeal small subunit ribosomal RNA", at positions 726 to 1242 of the family's 1478-position model. The record is from RNAcentral.